Molecule: long non-coding RNA, 534 nt
Filed under: Homo sapiens (human)
Lineage: Eukaryota; Metazoa; Chordata; Mammalia; Primates; Hominidae
Description: long non-coding RNA NONHSAT155918.1
Source: RNAcentral
UAAAAUCACCGUCGCAAUACUGAAGCUGGGUCAGGGAGCUGAGGUAAGGAAAUAGCGCCCCUAGAGGAGAAGCAGCUUGUGUGUACCUGGAGCCCAGCACGCUGUUUUACAUGCAAUGGAAGCCGUUCACGUUUGAUGCAAUUCAAGGCUUGGCACACUCUGAGGAAGCCUGACUCUCACUAUGGACUGGUGGCAGCUUCCCCAAAGUCUGGGUUCAGUUCCCAGGAGGAAGUGGCUUCUGAAGAGCACAUUUGGAUGCGGGAGAGUGACAGCGGGAGGGGCACCCCACAGGAAGGAAGCCCCUUGACAGAGGGCUGGCAGAUUAACGCAGCACACAGGGGGAAGAGGAGAGAAGUUGAGGCUGGACUGCAGGGACUGGCACCUCUUGAUUUGACUUCCUGCUACAGUCUCCUACUCUCAGUCCAGAAUAGAGGCGGCAACCAGGCAUGGUGGUACGUGCCUGUGGUCCCAGCUACUCAGAAGGCUGAGGUGGGAGGAUCGCCUGAGCCCUGGGAGUUCAAGGUUGUAGUGAGC